This 468-nucleotide ribosomal RNA is filed under the name uncultured bacterium. Its description in RNAcentral is "partial 16S ribosomal RNA". It matches the Rfam family "Bacterial small subunit ribosomal RNA", at positions 28 to 507 of the family's 1533-position model. The record is from RNAcentral.
GACGAACGCUGGCGGCGUGCUUAACACAUGCAAGUCGAACGGAAAGGCCCUGCUUUUGUGGGGUGCUCGAGUGGCGAACGGGUGUGUAACACGUGAGUAACCUGCCCUCGACUUUGGGAUAACUUCAGGAAACUGGGGCUAAUACCGGAUAGGAGCUCCUGCUGCAUGGUGGGGGUUGGAAAGUUUCGGCGGUUGGGGUUGGACUCGGGGCUUAUCAGCUUGUUGGUGGGGUAGUGGCUUACCAAGGGGGUGACGGGUAGCCGGCCUGAGAGCGUGACCGGCGACAUGGGGCCGGAGCAACGGCCCAGAAGCCGAAGGGAGGCAGAGUCAGGGAAUAUUACACAAAAGCAGGAAGCCUGAGGCAACAACGCCGGGUGCGUGGAGACGACCUUCGGGUUGUAAACCGCGUUCGCCUGUUACGAAGCGAGAGUGACGGUAAUAGGAGAAGAAGCACCGGCUAACUACGUG